RNAcentral lists this unclassified non-coding RNA (273 nucleotides) under plant metagenome. Its description in RNAcentral is "partial contains small subunit ribosomal RNA, internal transcribed spacer 1, and 5.8S ribosomal RNA". The record is from RNAcentral.
GUUUCCGUAGGUGAACCUGCGGAAGGAUCAUUAAUGAGUUGUCAUGGGGUUCGAUGCUGGCAGCCAGUUUUUGGAUGCAUGUGCUUGCCCUAACAAUCAUCUUCUUCCAAACACCUGUGCACAUUUUUGAGGGAGUCUUGAGUUGGUUGCCGCUCUUGGGUGAUUUUCUCACAUUCCCUUAAAUCAUUAUACGCUAUUAACAAUGUUGAACGUGCUCUGUGCCGCAAGGCCAUUAAUAUAAUACAACUUUUAACAACGGAUCUCUUGGCUCUC